AAGGUGGCCUGUGAGGGUUGCUGGAGGUAUCAGAAGUGCGAAUGCUGACAUAAGUAACGAUAAAGCGGGUGAAAAGCCCGCUCGCCGGAAGACCAAGGGUUCCUGUCCAACGUUAAUCGGGGCAGGGUGAGUCGACCCCUAAGGCGAGGCCGAAAGGCGUAGUCGAUGGGAAACGGGUUAAUAUUCCCGUACUUGGUGUUACUGCGAAGGGGGGACGGAGAAGGCUAUGUUGGCCGGGCGACGGUUGUCCCGGUUUAAGCGUGUAGGUGUGUGUUCCAGGUAAAUCCGGUUCACUUUAACACUGAGGCGUGAUGACGAGGCACUACGGUGCUGAAGCAACAAAUGCCCUGCUUCCAGGAAAAGCCUCUAAGCAUCAGGUAACAUCAAAUCGUACCCCAAACCGACACAGGUGGUCAGGUAGAGAAUACCAAGGCGCUUGAGAGAACUCGGGUGAAGGAACUAGGCAAAAUGGUGCCGUAACUUCGGGAGAAGGCACGCUGACACGUAGGUGAAGUGAUUUACUCAUGGAGCUGAAGUCAGUCGAAGAUACCAGCUGGCUGCAACUGUUUAUUAAAAACACAGCACUGUGCAAACACGAAAGUGGACGUAUACGGUGUGACGCCUGCCCGGUGCCGGAAGGUUAAUUGAUGGGGUCAGCGCAAGCGAAGCUCCUGAUCGAAGCCCCGGUAAACGGCGGCCGUAACUAUAACGGUCCUAAGGUAGCGAAAUUCCUUGUCGGGUAAGUUCCGACCUGCACGAAUGGCGUAAUGAUGGCCAGGCUGUCUCCACCCGAGACUCAGUGAAAUUGAACUCGCUGUGAAGAUGCAGUGUACCCGCGGCAAGACGGAAAGACCCCGUGAACCUUUACUAUAGCUUGACACUGAACAUUGAGCCUUGAUGUGUAGGAUAGGUGGGAGGCUUUGAAGCGUGGACGCCAGUCUGCGUGGAGCCAACCUUGAAAUACCACCCUUUAAUGUUUGAUGUUCUAACGUGGACCCGUUACCCGGGUUGCGGACAGUGUCUGGUGGGUAGUUUGACUGGGGCGGUCUCCUCCUAAAGAGUAACGGAGGAGCACGAAGGUUGGCUAAUCCUGGUCGGACAUCAGGAGGUUAGUGCAAUGGCAUAAGCCAGCUUGACUGCGAGCGUGACGGCGCGAGCAGGUGCGAAAGCAGGUCAUAGUGAUCCGGUGGUUCUGAAUGGAAGGGCCAUCGCUCAACGGAUAAAAGGUACUCCGGGGAUAACAGGCUGAUACCGCCCAAGAGUUCAUAUCGACGGCGGUGUUUGGCACCUCGAUGUCGGCUCAUCACAUCCUGGGGCUGAAGUAGGUCCCAAGGGUAUGGCUGUUCGCCAUUUAAAGUGGUACGCGAGCUGGGUUUAGAACGUCGUGAGACAGUUCGGUCCCUAUCUGCCGUGGGCGCUGGAGAACUGAGGGGGGCUGCUCCUAGUACGAGAGGACCGGAGUGGACGCAUCACUGGUGUUCGGGUUGUCAUGCCAAUGGCACUGCCCGGUAGCUAAAUGCGGAAGAGAUAAGUGCUGAAAGCAUCUAAGCACGAAACUUGCCCCGAGAUGAGUUCU
This 1576-nucleotide ribosomal RNA is filed under the name Salmonella enterica subsp. enterica serovar Worthington. Its description in RNAcentral is "bacterial LSU rRNA". It matches the Rfam family "Bacterial large subunit ribosomal RNA", at positions 1253 to 2812 of the family's 2925-position model. The record is from RNAcentral. Lineage: Bacteria; Pseudomonadati; Pseudomonadota; Gammaproteobacteria; Enterobacterales; Enterobacteriaceae.